UUUUUUAUUUUUUUUAUGUUACACAACAACUGCCCAUGGCAAAACAUGGAAAGCUAUCAAAUGCCUUACAUUGGACUGCAGUUAUAUAAUUCAUGAUUUUAUCAACCUGAAAUUCAAUAACUAAACAUUUUGAAAAAGGAACAGAAAAGUGCUACAUUAGGUAGCAAUGCAUGAGGAAACAAUAAUCAAGAGAUCUAAGCAAAAGGAUCCCCCAUGUAGCAGAUUCUCUGAAGAACAGAGAAGCACACUGAAAGCGCAGACGAGAAGCUUUGUGGUUACAGUAAGUAACAGGGUCGGGUCUUCACUUCCUGGUGCAGGCAAACCGAGACUUGCAGAGGUAAAAAAAAAAAAAACAACAGAAGCAAAACAAAGUCUUGGUUGAAGUUUUUGGACAAAGUCUUCUUAACCUAGAUGCAAUGUUACUAGCCUAUAUAGAGGUAGGAGUACAGAGUAAAAUGGAGAGAUUGAGUCACAAGCCUCCUCUAGGUGAUGGACCAACCGUGAAAGGAUAAGAGGGUCAUUCCAUCUCCCUCUAUUACACCCUACCACAAUCGCCUGCCAAUAAAAGGAACGUGAAAACAUUGGGUUGCCCAUCUAUGUCCCCUUGUGAAAGGAAAAAAAGGUGAUCCUCAAACACACCUGAAAAGACAGUCUUGGUGGGCCACCUGACACCAUGUGAAAAACAGAGCAGUGCUUUGUUUGCGAUCUGCUCUCUUUCAAGUGGAUUACACGUUGUGAAAUAAAUAAAAUAAUAAUCCACUAA
Molecule: long non-coding RNA, 763 nt
Organism: Oncorhynchus kisutch (coho salmon)
Lineage: Eukaryota; Metazoa; Chordata; Actinopteri; Salmoniformes; Salmonidae
Exons: 2
Source: RefSeq, a predicted model, not a curated record